RNAcentral lists this transfer RNA (68 nucleotides) under human gut metagenome. It matches the Rfam family "tRNA". From Rfam's summary of the family: Transfer RNA (tRNA) molecules are approximately 80 nucleotides in length. Their secondary structure includes four short double-helical elements and three loops (D, anti-codon, and T loops). RNAcentral also lists the same sequence under 3 other names. The record is from RNAcentral.
GGAUGUAGCUCAGUUGGUUAGAGCGCUAGUUUGUGGCACUAGAGGCCGUGGGUUCGAGUCCCAUCUUC